This 469-nucleotide ribosomal RNA is filed under the name uncultured bacterium. RNAcentral describes it as "partial 16S ribosomal RNA". It matches the Rfam family "Bacterial small subunit ribosomal RNA", at positions 28 to 507 of the family's 1533-position model. The record is from RNAcentral.
GAUGAACGCUGGCGGCGUGCUUAACACAUGCAAGUCGAACGGUGAACACGGAGCUUGCUCUGUGGGAUCAGUGGCGAACGGGUGAGUAACACGUGAGCAACCUGCCCCUGACUCUGGGAUAAGCGCUGGAAACGGCGUCUAAUACUGGAUAUGUGACGUGACCGCAUGGUCUGCGUUUGGAAAGAUUUUUCGGUUGGGGAUGGGCUCGCGGCCUAUCAGCUUGUUGGUGAGGUAAUGGCUCACCAAGGCGUCGACGGGUAGCCGGCCUGAGAGGGUGACCGGCGACACUGGGACUGCGACACGGCCCAGACGCCUACGGGAGGCAGCGGUGGGGAAUAUGGCACAAUGGGGGCAAGCCUGAUGCGGCAACGCCGCGUGAGGGAUAACGGCCUUCGGGUUGUAAACCUCUUUUAGCAGGGAAAAGGCGAAAGUGACGGUACCUACAGAAAAAGCGCCGGCUAACUACGUG